CAGCAGCCGCGGGAAAACGAAGGGGGCUAGCGUUGCUCGGAAUUACUGGGCGUAAAGGGAGCGUAGGCGGACUGUUUAGUCAGAGGUGAAAGCCCAGGGCUCAACCUUGGAAUUGCCUUUAAUACUGGCAGUCUUGAGUACGGAAGAGGUAUGUGGAACUCCGAGUGUAGAGGUGAAAUUCGUAGAUAUUCGGAAGAACACCAGUGGCGAAGGCGACAUACUGGUCCGUUACUGACGCUGAGGCUCGAAAGCGUGGGGAGCAAACAGGAUUAGAUACCCGAGUAGUCCCUGUCUCUUAUAC
Molecule: ribosomal RNA, 301 nt
Filed under: uncultured bacterium
Lineage: Bacteria
Description: partial 16S ribosomal RNA
Rfam family: Bacterial small subunit ribosomal RNA
Source: RNAcentral